This 396-nucleotide ribosomal RNA is filed under the name uncultured bacterium. RNAcentral's name for it is "bacterial SSU rRNA". It matches the Rfam family "Bacterial small subunit ribosomal RNA", at positions 28 to 430 of the family's 1533-position model. The record is from RNAcentral.
GACGAACGCUGGCGGCGUGCUUAACACAUGCAAGUCGAGCGGUAAGGCCCUUUCGGGGGUACACGAGCGGCGAACGGGUGAGUAACACGUGGGUGACCUGCCCUCAGCUCUGGGAUAAGCCUGGGAAACUGGGUCUAAUACCGGAUAUGACUCCAUGACGCAUGUUGUGGGGUGGAAAGCCUUGUGCGGCUAGGGAUGGGCCUGCGGCCUAUCAGCUUGUUGGUGGGGUGANGGCCUACCAAGGCGACGACGGGUAGCCGGCCUGAGAGGGCGACCGGCCACACUGGGACUGAGACACGGCCCAGACUCCUACGGGAGGCAGCAGUGGGGAAUCUUGCGCAAUGGGCGAAAGCCUGACGCAGCGACGCCGCGUGGGGAUGACGGCCUGGUGUAACU